Long non-coding RNA from Manacus vitellinus (golden-collared manakin), 4244 nucleotides. RefSeq lists it as uncharacterized. The transcript has 9 exons. Lineage: Eukaryota; Metazoa; Chordata; Aves; Passeriformes; Pipridae. The record is from RefSeq and is a predicted model, not a curated record.
UCCAUGAAAGUCUUCAGCUUGGCCCUUGGAGUUCAUCUGACCAAAGCUGGUGGCUGCUGCUCGACUGCCCAGCCCUGGGGUCUCUGGGCUGUAGGAUGGGAGGCCUGAUGCCCCUCGGUCCUUGGCUCCUGCCUGGCUGUUCCUAGGGAAGCUGGGUUUCUUCAUGGUGACCUGCACAGCUGGCCUGUGGGCAGCACCUGAAAAGCUCUCCAGCUCUUUUGCUCCUGGAAGCAGAAUUGUCCCCAAGUCAGGUGGCCUUCAGCACAAGCCAAGCAGGUCAAGUGUUACAAUAAACAAGGUACAGACACAGCCCAUGUGUUGGACCACACUGGAAUCCCGAAGGGAUGAAGCACAGGGAUGAGACUCCUCUGUGAGAAGGAACAUCAUCUCCACAUUGUCAUCCUUGACCCAGGUAGAAGAGGGAUCCACAGAACAACUAGCAUCCAACUUUGAAAGAACGUGUUCUGAUCUCUGCUGGCCACAGACCUCAUCUGCUGCCGUGUCCCUCCUCCAGGGAGAAGGAACUCCUGUGAACAGCACUGUAGGAACCGCAGCUGUGACAGCAUCCAACAUGGCACGGGAUGUCUUUACUGUGCCAGUAAUUACCAAAAUGGAAAAAGAGAUUUUUCUGUCCCAAACCCUCACGAUUUUACUUAUCUGAUUUAAAUUGAUUUGAAUAGGAACAAAGAGAAAUUACAUCCUUAGGUGAUUACUGACUGGUGGUCUGAUGCUUCUGCCAUAUAAACCUGAUGUCAUCAAAGCUGGUGGACCCAGAGAUGAACCAAAGCUCCCAAGCCUGCCUGCCCUCUUGUCCCACUGCACCUGAGGCCCCUGAGCUGCCCAUGCUGUUGUGCCCAGUGCAGAGGCUGCAGGGAAAACACGGCCCACCAGUGAGACAUGUUUAGGAAGAGGCUGUGGAGCCCAGCUCUGUGGGUGCUCUGCUGCACAACCAAGCCCACAUUGCAGAGUCUUCCUGAGUAUCUUCCAGGGUCUGAGCUCCACUGAGUGUUUGUCUUGGCUCUGUUCUGUUCAGCUCCUUCCCUGCACCUUCAGAGGCAAGCCUCUUCCCCAAAAUCCACGCUGUUUGGCAUUCAUCCUGCAGCCAAAGAGAGCUCCUUCAGCAGUGGGAUCUGCCCAAGAGGCAAUGGGAAUGGUCAUCUCACUCCUACUGACUUGCCUGGAAAUUCAGUAUCAGGAUGCACACGAAGCCACUGGAUGUACUGAGAGUCUUCAGGACUGUGAUGAUCCUCUGUUCAGUUAACAAUGAUUUUUAUAAAUGCAGCAUCAAGAAGAGAUACUUGAUAACUGCUCAGGACAGAAAUGGAGCAUCAGCACUUGAGUCAAAUGAAAGUGAGAGGAAGAAAUGAGAAGAAGAAAUCAAGGCACAAGUAUGAUUGUUCACAUUUGAUUCUGAGGAAGUCACUGCUGGGAAUGCUGCCACUUGCUAAUGAAGAACCUUCUUAUGCCAAGAUUCAGACUGGAAGGAAAAAUUGAUUGCUUAAGUUUGAUCAGGAUGGUGUUACAAAAAGCAGUGGCAAUCUUUUUUGUGCCUGUCUGAUGCACUGCCCAAGCACUUCUAGGGAGAGACAGUAAAGGGAGACCGUCCAUCAGCAUCACUUAAUUUAAACCAGUGUUAAUUUUGUGGCUGUGUUUAAAGCACUUGGGAUGUGAUACUAAAACCACCUCUGCUAUAAAACUAAGCACACUUGGGUGUGCCUAAGGGAUGGGAAUGCUGGUAUGGGAGCCACUUAAGCCAAGUUCAUACGUGGGAAUCUCAGCUGAGCCUGAGUCAAACUCCAAAUACUGUCUGAGACACUUCUGUGAGAACUGAGAGUAAUCUGAACUGUUGUGCCAAUAUUAAUAAAUUAAACUGUGAAUGUCCUGUGCUUGUAGAUUGCUUUCAGCAUGGGCCCUGAAGCUGUAAACUGUGCUUAAAUAUGAGGAAGACAGAGAGAUCUGUGUUCCAGACUCAGGGAAAUCCAGCUGAUAGCCCAGCCUUUUGCAGGAAUGCCACCAGGAUUUGUUAAAAUGAUCUGUUCAGUGAAUGGUCUUCUGGCAGUAUUAGGUGACUUUCUGUACAGGCACUGGAAUCUCCAAGAAAAGUGAAGUUCCUGGAUCAGGUUUGCUCUCAUUUAAGCAAGUGCAACGAAGACAGUGACCCCCAUUAUUACCCUGGAGUCUCACUGAUGAGAGAACGAGCUCCAUCAGCUCCCCCUCACCAAAGCACACACCACCCCCUCGGGCUGUGCAUGGUGUGGUCACAGUGUCAUCGACUGCAAGUUGCUGCUUUUACCUUGGUUAAAAACCCGUUUGCUGAACAAGCAGAUGGUGUAAACCAGCAACAGAGGGAGCCCAGUGACCGAGGGGUGGCAUUAAUGGAACUAAUUGACCCUAAGAUACUCUUAUCAGUCUGAUCAUUGGCCUUUAUUAGGUAUUUAUCUGUCUCCUGGUUUCUUUUCAAGGCAGAUAUUUAAGUUAUGGUUUAUACACUUCAGUGCACAUGUGUGAUAUUGGAUCUAAUUAGAAAAAAAUACUAAAUGAUGCCAAAACUAAUCCGUAGCUGUCACUCAGAUACUUGAUUACUGUGUUGCUAAUUCUGCCUUUCUUGCUCCAGUGAGUAGGGCUGACCUUAGGACUUCUGUGGGCUCAGACACUGAUGGAUUUCAACGAGGUCUUUUUACUCAGGGUGAAUCAGGGGGCACUUAAUAUUCCAGAGUAUCUGCAAGAGCUGGUGAGGCUCCUCUCACAGAGCUGCUCUGAUGAGCAGAGUGAUGCAGCCAGUCCAAACCGAUGCUGCAGCGAGAGCACUGUGGCCUGAAGGAAUCCUUUAAGAACUGCUUGACUAUGGAAAAUGAUGGUCCCUCUCCAAGAGAAUUUUGUGGCCUUAAGGCUUCUCUGCUCUGUGCUACAAAAGAAACUAUUUGCAAACAUGGCUGGACAGAAAUGACCACAUCUGCUCAAGUGUGGCCUCGUGCUAGUGCAGAAAUGUGGAGAAAGAUAUUGCUGCAAUGAAGAUGCAGACCUAAUUUUCUACUCAAAGAGAAAUCUGGAGCCAGCAAAAACAUCUUCUUUGUGUACAACAGAAUCCGGAGCAAAGCCAUCUGCUGCUAAAGCAAUACUUAAACUCUCCCUUCUUCUCUUCCUGAAACAAACCACAGAUCCACAAUUUCCAAGUGUGCUGAAUCCACCAGGCUGCAGGAAGGCUGCUGAGGAAUAAAACAAGCUCUGGAAUCCAAGAAGAGGCGAACAGCAGUGAGCAGGGAGGAGGAAGGACCAGUAGUCAUGGGGAUGGAUUUUCCUCCACUGUGCAGUUUCCCUCCACCUUGUCAAACACCUUAUCUUGCAAUUUCAUUCUCAAUUAUUUAAUCUGUUCUGUAGUACAAAUGUUUUCCCUAUGUUGGAUUUCAUAUAUAAAUAUCUGCAGAUGGCAUAUUGCUUUCUGAACUGAUAUGACUGUACAUGAACCUGCUUGGAAAGAGCAUGCACACCCUAUUAAGUGUAUCAUUUGCCUUAUUGUAAUUAAGAUAAUGAGAUUUUCACUAUAAAUUGAUAUUUUAGUUUAUACUCCACAGAUACAAAAAUAUUCCUGAAAAGCAAAGCAUGGCACAUUGCAUUAGCACAUGGUGAAAAGGGGCAUUAUUUUUAUUAUUGUUUUUCCAGUAAAAGUUCAUAUAUUUUGCAGUCACUUAUUUACAAAUAUUAGUAUUCAAUUCAGUGUUUCCCUACUAAAUAUUUAGAGUGGACAUUUAUGGGAUAGGAAAGGAACUGUUUUUCUUAGGAUGUGGUAAGUUGCUGUAUAAACUCUUGAAUUAGUACCUGGGUCCACUUAAGCCCUAAUAUCUCAAUCUGUGUUUUUUUGAGAGAAUGAUUUUUGAAAAGCAGUAGUAGGAUUGUUGGGAUGAGCAAUACUGAUGAAACUGCUGUUUAGAACUAAUUAUCUGGAAAUAUUGUUGGUUGUCAUGCUACUGUAUUUGCAGAAACUAGGGAUGGGGUGGAGGAGCCUCUGUCAUCCCCAGACAAACCUCCUGCUUCUCAUAUAUUUCUAUCUGUGAUGUAUUCGUCCAGCCUGUUUUUUAACCAUCUGUGGUAAUCCUACAUUAGGUACUCAAGAGCCUAAUUUACUGUUAGGAAGACUCCUUAACACCUCCCCCUAAAACUUCCUUCUCUUUAGUUUAGCCCAUUGCUUUUUAUUCUAGGUGUGGUCUGGCAGUUCUGACAUUUUAACCAAAAAUGCUACAAUACAA